GACGAACGCUGGCGGCGUUCUUAACACAUGCAAGUCGAACGCUGAAGCUCAGCUUUUGUUGGGUGGAUGAGUGGCGAACGGGUGAGUAACACGUGAGUAACCUGCCCCCUUCUUUGGGAUAACGCCCGGAAACGGGUGCUAAUACUGGAUAUUCACUGGUCUUCGCAUGGGGGUUGGUGGAAAGGGUUUUUCUGGUGGGGGAUGGGCUCGCGGCCUAUCAGCUUGUUGGUGGGGUGAUGGCCUACCAAGGCUUUGACGGGUAGCCGGCCUGAGAGGGUGACCGGUAACAGUGGGACUGAGAUACGGCCCAGACUCCUACGGGAGGCAGCAGUGGGGAAUAUUGCACAAUGGGCGCAAGCCUGAUGCAGCGACGCCGCGUGAGGGAUGGAGGCCUUCGGGUUGUGAACCUCUUUCGCUCAUGGUCAAGCCGCAACAAUGGUUGUGGUGAGGGUAGUGGGUAAAGAAGCGCCGGCUAACUACGUG
RNAcentral lists this ribosomal RNA (483 nucleotides) under uncultured bacterium. RNAcentral's name for it is "partial 16S ribosomal RNA". It matches the Rfam family "Bacterial small subunit ribosomal RNA", at positions 28 to 507 of the family's 1533-position model. The record is from RNAcentral.